AGUGAACGCUGGCGGUGGGCCUAACACAUGCAAGUCGAACGGCAGCACAGUAAGAGCUUGCUCUUACGGGUGGCGAGUGGCGGACGGGUGAGGAAUACAUCGGAAUCUACUUUUUCGUGGGGGAUAACGUAGGGAAACUUACGCUAAUACCGCAUACGACCUACGGGUGAAAGCAGGGGAUCUUCGGACCUUGCGCGAUUGAAUGAGCCGAUGUCGGAUUAGCUAGUUGGCGGGGUAAAGGCCCACCAAGGCGACGAUCCGUAGCUGGUCUGAGAGGAUGAUAGGCCACACUGGAACUGAGACACGGUCCAGACUCCUACGGGAGGCAGCAGUGGGGAAUAGUGGACAAUGGGCGCAAGCCUGAUCCAGCCAUACCGCGUGGGUGAAGAAGGCCUUCGGGUUGUAAAGCCCUUUUGUUGGGAAAGAAAAGCAGCAGGUUAAUACCCCGCUGUUCUGACGGUACCCAAAGAAUAAGCACCGGCUAACUUCGUG
This 492-nucleotide ribosomal RNA is filed under the name uncultured bacterium. RNAcentral describes it as "partial 16S ribosomal RNA". It matches the Rfam family "Bacterial small subunit ribosomal RNA", at positions 29 to 507 of the family's 1533-position model. The record is from RNAcentral.